RNAcentral lists this ribosomal RNA (408 nucleotides) under uncultured bacterium. RNAcentral describes it as "bacterial SSU rRNA". It matches the Rfam family "Bacterial small subunit ribosomal RNA", at positions 350 to 751 of the family's 1533-position model. The record is from RNAcentral.
AGCAGUGGGGAAUUUUGGACAAUGGGCGCAAGCCUGAUCCAGCAAUGCCGCGUGAGUGAAGAAGGCCUUCGGGUUGUAAAGCUCUUUUGUCAGGGAAGAAACGGUGAGGGCUAAUAUCCUUUGCUAAUGACGGUACCUGAAGAAUAAGCACCGGCUAACUACGUGCCAGCAGCCGCGGUAAUACGUAGGGUGCAAGCGUUAAUCGGAAUUACUGGGCGUAAAGCGUGCGCAGGCGGUUUUGUAAGUUUGUCGUGAAAGCCCCGGGCUCAACCUGGGAAUUGCGAUGAAGACUGCAAGGCUUGAAUCCGGCAGAGGGGGGUAGAAUUCCACGUGUAGCAGUGAAAUGCGUAGAGAUGUGGAGGAACACCGAUGGCGAAGCAGCCCCCUGGGUCAAGAUUGACACUCAUG